Molecule: ribosomal RNA, 482 nt
Filed under: uncultured bacterium
Lineage: Bacteria
Description: partial 16S ribosomal RNA
Rfam family: Bacterial small subunit ribosomal RNA
Source: RNAcentral
AUUGAACGCUGGCGGCAUGCUUUACACAUGCAAGUCGAACGGUAACAGGCCGCCAGGUGCUGACGAGUGGCGAACGGGUGAGUAAUGCAUCGGAACGUGCCCAGUCGUGGGGGAUAACUACUCGAAAGAGUAGCUAAUACCGCAUACGAUCUAUGGAUGAAAGCGGGGGACCGUAAGGCCUCGCGCGAUUGGAGCGGCCGAUGUCAGAUUAGGUAGUUGGUGGGGUAAAGGCUCACCAAGCCAACGAUCUGUAGCUGGUCUGAGAGGACGACCAGCCACACUGGGACUGAGACACGGCCCAGACUCCUACGGGAGGCAGCAGUGGGAAAUUUUGGACAAUGGGCGCAAGCCUGAUCCAGCAAUGCCGCGUGCAGGAAGAAGGCCUUCGGGUUGUAAACUGCUUUUGUACGGAACGAAACGGCUCUGGUUAAUACCCGGGGCUAAUGACGGUACCGUAAGAAUAAGCACCGGCUAACUACGUG